Molecule: long non-coding RNA, 335 nt
Filed under: Ictidomys tridecemlineatus (thirteen-lined ground squirrel)
Lineage: Eukaryota; Metazoa; Chordata; Mammalia; Rodentia; Sciuridae
Description: lncRNA (ENSSTOG00000033578.1)
Source: RNAcentral
UCCCAGUUCGCCUGCUGCCGUCUGGUACUCUUAAUAGUCAACAAUCUCGCAUUGAUUAUUCAGAUCUGCAGGAAAGCCACGAGGCUCUGGUGUCACUGGGAUUGCAGGAGUGCGUCACCACGCCUGGCAACAACGGAUGGUUUUUACAACUUUACCUUCUGGCUUUACAAAUAAUUACACAAAUUUAUGAUUUUUAAGCCAAGAGCUACUUUGAUAUGAACUUUUAAGAAAAAGUUUUAUCAUAAUUGACAAGUUAUCCAGUAAUUAAUCAUAAAAUUUACCUGACAAAUGACAAAAGAUGUAAGACAUAUUGGAAAAAUUCAACGACUUGGAAU